GAUGAACGCUGGCGGCGUGCCUAAUACAUGCAAGUCGAGCGAACGGACGAGAAGCUUGCUUCUCUGAUGUUAGCGGCGGACGGGUGAGUAACACGUGGAUAACCUACCUAUCAUACUGGGAUAACUUCGGGACACCGGAGCUAAUACCGGAUGAUAUAUUGAACCGCAUGGUUCCAAACUGAAAGACGGUCUUGCUGUCACUUAUAGAUGGAUCCGCGCUGCAUUAGCUAGUUGGUAAGGUAACGGCUUACCAAGGCAACGAUGCAUAGCCGACCUGAGAGGGUGAUCGGCCACACUGGAACUGAGACACGGUCCAGACUCCUACGGGAGGCAGCAGUAGGGAAUCUUCCGCAAUGGGCGAAAGCAUGACGGAGCAACGCCGCGUGAGUGAUGAAGGUCUUCGGAUCGUAAAACUCUGUUAUUAGGGAAGAACAUAUGUGUAAGUAACUGUGCACAUCUUGACGGUACCUAAUCAGAAAGCCACUGCUAACUACGUG
This 497-nucleotide ribosomal RNA is filed under the name uncultured bacterium. RNAcentral describes it as "partial 16S ribosomal RNA". It matches the Rfam family "Bacterial small subunit ribosomal RNA", at positions 28 to 507 of the family's 1533-position model. The record is from RNAcentral.